This is an RNA transcript of Culex quinquefasciatus (southern house mosquito), 1218 nucleotides long. RefSeq lists it as uncharacterized. Lineage: Eukaryota; Metazoa; Arthropoda; Insecta; Diptera; Culicidae. The transcript has 3 exons. The record is from RefSeq and is a predicted model, not a curated record.
ACAAUCUUGUAAAAAUAUCUCUUAAUUGAAGUAUCAAAAAUGCAAUAUCUCUCAAUAGUUUUUAUGUCAUUGUUUGCAAUCGAUUUAUCCUCAGCAAAUGGAGUAGCUGUUUCAAAAAUCGACGAAAUUUUUGUGGGAAAGUGUGAAAAGAACAUCAAAACCAAAGUUCCUGCACAAUUGUGCCAAAUUCGUAAACUACUGAUUGAUGUCGCAACAGCAGAAACUAAAGCUUUUGGUGACUGCAUUCUAAAGGAAUUCGGAUAUUUCGACUCAAAUGGCAAAAUAGACAAAUCAGCACUAGCGAAAGACUAUAGCGAGCAGGGAUUCAUUGGAAAGGACGCAGAAUUGUCAAGCAUGAUUGAUGAUUGUGAGAGAGAGUUCGGAACUGGUAUUAACUCUGUAAACUAUUUGUUGUGCAUCACUAUGGAGAAAGAUUUUGCUGGUGUUCUAAAUUCCAGGAAAAAGAAAGAAGGAAAGUGGCAACCUGAAAAACCGGUUUGCAAGUGACGAAAAUAAAUUUAGAAAAAAUAGUUUAAACAAUAUUAAAACUAGUCAUGCAAAAUUGUUACAACCUGUUCCAACCCAUGAUCAGCCCAGAAGCCAUUUAGGAUCGGUGGAAGCAUGAAUUAACUUUAAAUUACCCUCUCAAAACAAAAGCCCAGCCUGCGCUCAACAACUCUCUAAGCGCCCAUAUUUCCAUAACUGUUGCAAUCAUAUUCAGUGCGAGCAAUUACCAUUCGUUCAAAGUCAUGAGUCGAGGUACAAUACCGUUCACUUUGGGACAACGAGCUGAAAUUGCUGCAACAAGUUGGUGUAAAUGAAAUCAACCGUGCCGAGAUGGAGUCCCGGCGGCGAUCCUGUACUCGCGAGCACCUCAACAACAGGCCAACAAGUGUGAAGAAAACUCUGACCAAGUGACUAGCCACAGCCGCAGGUGAACACUUCAUGGGCGGACCCAUGUUGGAUCUAUUUCGCGCGCGCGCACCGUGCAAGUGCCCGGGAGAUGUUGUUGUUUUGAUUUCUUGGGCGAACACCGGGUCUCAGGCAGGGACGGUUUGGGGCAAGGUGUUAUUUAAAGUAAUGAUAUAAUAAGAAUUAUCAAAAAUUACAUUUGCAAGGAAUUUCCAUUAAGGGUUAUAUUUUGAAAAUUGUUUUACUAGAGUGCUUGGAAAUUUCACGAUGCUUUCAUUCUUUAACUUUGUAAAUCGGGAACAUAUU